RNAcentral lists this ribosomal RNA (141 nucleotides) under uncultured bacterium. Its description in RNAcentral is "partial 16S rRNA". It matches the Rfam family "Bacterial small subunit ribosomal RNA", at positions 355 to 511 of the family's 1533-position model. The record is from RNAcentral.
UGGGGAAUUUUCCGCAAUGGGCGAAAGCCUGACGGAGCAAUGCCGCGUGGAGGUGGAAGGCCUACGGGUCGCCAACUUCUUUUCUCGGAGAAGAAACAAUGACGGUAUCUGAGGAAUAAGCAUCGGCUAACUCUGUGCCGG